RNAcentral lists this small RNA (705 nucleotides) under Pan troglodytes (chimpanzee). RNAcentral's name for it is "processed transcript". Lineage: Eukaryota; Metazoa; Chordata; Mammalia; Primates; Hominidae. The record is from RNAcentral.
GGUGAGUCCUCUCUCUUGCUCUUGCUUGCUUGCACUGAUGAAGUAAGCUGCCACGUUGUGAGAUGCUCAACGAAGAGGCCCAUGAGGCAGGGCACCGAGGGAGGCUUCUGGCCAACAGCUCCUGGGGAACUAAGGCCUUAGGAAGUGAGUCCUGCCAACAAUAAUGAGAGCCUUGAACUUUGAAACCACAGUGCCUUGUUCCAGCGUGGAAAGCAGCGUGGCACUUCCCGGUGGUGAAAGCACCCCAGCUCGAAAGGGUAAAAACACCUUCUCCCAGAUAGUGUCCCUUUGUUUAGCCAGUGCUUUUUGCCAGUGGUCACCUUAAGGAAAUCAAAUGAAGGGGUCAGCCAGGAGUGGAUCUGGAAGCUGGAGAACUCUCAAUACGCCACUUCAGUUUAUUGACGACAUUUAUAAUUGCAACCGAAGUUGACUGAUUUCUGCUAAAUGAAAGUUUGCGCUUUGCGCUUUAGCAUUGAGGCUCCUGGAAAGAACUUCAAUGAAAUUGGAUGCAUUGAGACCAAAGAAAAGAAGGGGACAUUUUUAUCUCUCUGAUACCUUUCUCCCCAAGGCUUGGAAACACUUCUUAAACACAACCUCUGAUGUUGGUGUUUUAUUUGAGGCUUAAGCAACUUCUUCUGGGGAAGAGUGCCAGUGCAGCCACUGUUACAAUUCAAGAUCUUGAUCUAUAUCUAUAGAUUGGAAUAU